Etheostoma spectabile (orangethroat darter) is the source of this 261-nucleotide long non-coding RNA. RefSeq lists it as uncharacterized. Lineage: Eukaryota; Metazoa; Chordata; Actinopteri; Perciformes; Percidae. The transcript is spliced from 3 exons. The record is from RefSeq and is a predicted model, not a curated record.
GGUCUUACAGGAGGUGUGUUCAGGUGCAUUCUGGCGUGCUGGUCUUCCAGGGAGGUGUGUUCAGGGUGGCAUUCUGGCGUGCUGGUCUUACAGGGAGGUGUGUUCAGGUGCAGUCUGGGCGUUCUGGUCUUCAGGAGGAUGUGUUCAGGUGCAUUACUGGCGGCUGGUCUGACAGGAGGUGUGUUAUACAGUGCAUUCUGGGCGUGCUGCUUACGAGGAGUGUGUUCAGAUGCAGUUCCCCCUGGGCGUGCUGGUCUUACA